UGUUUGUGUUCGAUUAUGAGAAAUUAUGAUCGAUUGCUUGGUCGUUUAGUCACUACGACCAAUCUUCGAUUAUUUCGAUUAAUCGGACCACCACUAAUAUACAGUACAACACCGUUGUCAAGAAUGUCUGUUGGUUUACCUACACCAU
Long non-coding RNA from Haliotis rubra (blacklip abalone), 148 nucleotides. RefSeq lists it as uncharacterized. The record is from RefSeq and is a predicted model, not a curated record. Lineage: Eukaryota; Metazoa; Mollusca; Gastropoda; Lepetellida; Haliotidae. The transcript is spliced from 3 exons.